GACGAACGCUGGCGGCGUGCUUAACACAUGCCAGUCGAACGAAGAGCGACGGAAGCUUGCUUCUAUCAAUCUUAGUGGCGAACGGGUGAGUAACGCGUAAUCAACCUGCCCUUCAGAGGGGGACAACAGUUGGAAACGACUGCUAAUACCGCAUACGAUCUAACCUCGGCAUCGAGGAUAGAUGAAAGGUGGCCUCUACAUGUAAGCUAUCACUGAAGGAGGGGAUUGCGUCUGAUUAGCUAGUUGGAGGGGUAACGGCCCACCAAGGCGAUGAUCAGUAGCCGGUCUGAGAGGAUGAACGGCCACAUUGGGACUGAGACACGGCCCAGACUCCUACGGGAGGCAGCAGUGGGGAAUCUUCCGCAAUGGACGAAAGUCUGACGGAGCAACGCCGCGGGAGUGAUGACGGCCUUCGGGUUGUAAAGCUCGGUUAAUCGGGACGAAAGGCCUUCUUGCGAAUAGUGAGAAGGAUUGACGGUACCGGAAGAGAAAGCCACGGCUAACUACGUG
This 510-nucleotide ribosomal RNA is filed under the name uncultured bacterium. RNAcentral's name for it is "partial 16S ribosomal RNA". It matches the Rfam family "Bacterial small subunit ribosomal RNA", at positions 28 to 507 of the family's 1533-position model. The record is from RNAcentral.